Long non-coding RNA from Rosa chinensis, 182 nucleotides. RefSeq lists it as uncharacterized. The transcript has 3 exons. The record is from RefSeq and is a predicted model, not a curated record. Lineage: Eukaryota; Viridiplantae; Streptophyta; Magnoliopsida; Rosales; Rosaceae.
CGACUAGCCCAGUUGCUGGAAGCAUGUGGACGUGGCCGAGCGAUUGUGUUGCAUACUUGGAUUGUACUUGGAAUCUUAUUCAAUUAGUUGGGCACUCUACCUUCAAUGACGAACAAAGAAGGCUCUCCUUUUAUGCUGCAAUGUUCCUUCCACUUAGGAAGACCAUGUAUAUAUAAAGAUAG